AGUCAAGUAAUUAAGUGCAUGUGGUGGAUGCCUUGGCAGUCAGAGGCGAUGAAAGACGUGAUAGCCUGCGAAAAGCUCCGGGGAGGCGGCAAAUAUC
RNAcentral lists this ribosomal RNA (97 nucleotides) under Acinetobacter baumannii. RNAcentral describes it as "partial 23S ribosomal RNA". It matches the Rfam family "Bacterial large subunit ribosomal RNA", at positions 1 to 97 of the family's 2925-position model. The record is from RNAcentral. Lineage: Bacteria; Pseudomonadati; Pseudomonadota; Gammaproteobacteria; Moraxellales; Moraxellaceae.